AGUGAACGCUGGCGGUAGGCCUAACACAUGCAAGUCGAACGGCAGCACAGUAAGAGCUUGCUCUUACGGGUGGCGAGUGGCGGACGGGUGAGGAAUACAUCGGAAUCUACUUUUUCGUGGGGGAUAACGUAGGGAAACUUACGCUAAUACCGCAUACGACCUACGGGAGAAAGCAGGGGAGCUUCGGACCUUGCGCGAUUGAAUGAGCCGAUGUCGGACUAGCUAGUUGGCGGGGUAAAGGCCCACCAAGGCGACGAUCCGUAGCUGGUCUGAGAGGAUGAUCAGCCACCCUGGAUCUGAGACACGGUCCAGACUCCUACGGGAGGCAGCAGUGGGGAAUCUUGGACAAUGGGCGCAAGCCUGAUCCAGCCCUACCGCGUGGGUGAAGAAGGCCUUCGGGUUGUAAAGCCCUUUUGUUGGGAAAGAAAAGCAGCAGGUUAAUACCCCGCUGUUCUGACGGUACCCAAAGAAUAAGCACCGGCUAACUUCGUG
RNAcentral lists this ribosomal RNA (492 nucleotides) under uncultured bacterium. RNAcentral's name for it is "partial 16S ribosomal RNA". It matches the Rfam family "Bacterial small subunit ribosomal RNA", at positions 29 to 507 of the family's 1533-position model. The record is from RNAcentral.